Molecule: unclassified non-coding RNA, 1397 nt
Filed under: Hevea brasiliensis (rubber tree)
Lineage: Eukaryota; Viridiplantae; Streptophyta; Magnoliopsida; Malpighiales; Euphorbiaceae
Source: RNAcentral
UUUUUUAGCCCUAAAAUAAAGUUUUUGUAUUAAUAGAAAUUGGAUUCAAUACAGUUGAACACAAGUGUCCUUGAAAGAAAUAGCAACACCAAUUGGAUUUUUUUAUGAAAAAUCACAAACAAACAUAACCUAAAUUCUGUAAUGCAUACCCAAUUAAAGUUGCAAGUAACCUAAUUAUUCUUUGAAGUCUUAAUCCAAGGAUAAAAACCAAGACCCACAAUAAUAAUUAAUUAAUUCACCCUCCUACAAUUCUUUCUGAUCUCUCCUUUUGAUCCAGUAAGUGGGCUGAUAUCUCCCAUCUUGAUCAUGCCAGUAACAAAAUCAGAGAAGAAGGUGCUUUGGCCAUUGCUGUAGGUGCGAACUGUGGAAUCAGUGGAUCCACCAUUGAACAAUUGCUGAUCAGAAUGAAGGAGGCCCUUCCGGGUAAGCAAGUUCUUGAAGUAGUUAUUGUCAAAAGUCGUAGGAGUCUGCAAAUCAAGUGGUGCCAAGUUGUUGUCCCCUGUCCCAUUGGUACUUGGGCAGUUUGAUCUCCUUGUCUGAGCAAAGGAUCUGUCUAUGUUUGUCUCAUUGUAUAUUCUAGUCCUGAACGAUGUGCACCUUGCUAGUCCAAUUGUGUGCGCUCCAGAUAAUGCAACCAAGUCUCUGGUUGAAAGGCCAAGGGCAUUGAAUCUUGAGAUGAGUUGGUUCAAGUUAGAAGUGGGAGGUGGAAUGCCAUUAUUGGCAGCAGAGCGGCUUGCAGUUCUAGCAUCUCUUCUUCCAAGUUUAACAUUCCAAUUUGGACCUCCAAGCUAAUUAAUUAAUUAACAAAAGAAAACCCCAUCAUUAAUUCAUUAAUUGCUACUUGAAACUGUCUAUAAAACAGAUAGACAAUUGUCAUCAAAAGCAAAACUUACAAUAACAGUGGAGUCUCUAGCAGCAACGGCUAAGACAUCAGCACAUGAGACCACUCCAGGGCAAGCCUUCUCAACUGCAGAUUUUAUGUUGUCUAUCACCUCAAAUCCUCUGGCUGAAUUACGAUUUGGAAUUGCCGUUUUCUCUCCGGUGAAGGAAGAUGUGUCAUCAAGUAGAAUUGAUCCAUCACAUCCAUUAACAAAGCAAUCGUGGAAGAACAAGCGAACGAUGGAUGCACCCUGUCGUUUCUCUUUAUUAAUGGCAGAUUGAACAACAGGUUUCACAACAGAAAAGAGGUUAGGGCAAGACUUGGAGUAGAAAUUUGUUGAAAGUUGAGCUUUGGUAGUGGUGAUCUCGAUGGAAGCCAAAGAGAUGAAGAUAAGGAGACAAGAAGUCACAGUAGGAGCCUUGAAAACUGAAGAAAAAGCCAUGGAUAUGUGGAACAACACAAACCCAACUUCACUGAGAAUUUAGUAGUACUUAGUACUGUUUCAUAUAUCCAUGGC